Nylanderia fulva is the source of this 176-nucleotide non-coding RNA. Lineage: Eukaryota; Metazoa; Arthropoda; Insecta; Hymenoptera; Formicidae. The record is from RefSeq and is a predicted model, not a curated record.
CAUCAAAUGUUUGUGUAUAAAUUAUAUUUUACAAAGUAAACAUGGUCAAGCUAUCAUUAUAUUUGCAAUAUUUCAUAGCGUGGCUAGAAGACUUGGUCUACGUUGCGAUAUAAUACUUAUUUGGCCUCGCUAUUGUAUAUUUUGGAGACCGAAAUUCGUCACAAGUAGUUUAAAAA